RNAcentral lists this ribosomal RNA (374 nucleotides) under uncultured bacterium. RNAcentral describes it as "bacterial SSU rRNA". It matches the Rfam family "Bacterial small subunit ribosomal RNA", at positions 28 to 402 of the family's 1533-position model. The record is from RNAcentral.
GACGAACGCUGGCGGCGUGCUUAACACAUGCAAGUCGAGCGGUAAGGCCCUUUCGGGGGUACACGAGCGGCGAACGGGUGAGUAACACGUGGGUGACCUGCCCUUAGCUCUGGGAUAAGCCUGGGAAACUGGGUCUAAUACCGGAUAUGACUCCAUAACGCAUGUUGUGGGGUGGAAAGCCUUGUGCGGCUAGGGAUGGGCCCGCGGCCUAUCAGCUUGUUGGUGGGGUGAUGGCCACCAAGGCGACGACGGUAGCCGGCCUGAGAGGGCGACCGGCCACACUGGGGACUGAGACACGGCCCAGACUCCUACGGGAGGCAGCAGUGGGGAAUCUUGCGCAAAUUGGGCGAAAGCCUGACGCAGCGACGCCGCGU